GAAAACUUUACAAUGCUGGAAACAGCGAUAAGGGGACCUCGAGUGCCAGGUUACAAAUCUGGCUGUCGUGAUGCCUAAAAAGCAUUGCAUAGCAAGGGCCGGGCAAGACCGGUGCCAGCCGCCGCGGUAACACCGGCGGCUCGAGUGGUAACCGUUAUUAUUGGGUCUAAAGGGUCUGUAGCCGGCCGGAUAAGUCUCUUGGGAAAUCUGGCAGCUUAACUGUCAGGCUUUCAGGGGAUACUGUCUGGCUCGAGGCCGGGAGAGGUGAGAGGUACUUCAGGGGUAGGGGUGAAAUCUUGUAAUCCUUGAAGGACCACCAGUG
Molecule: ribosomal RNA, 322 nt
Filed under: uncultured Methanosaeta sp.
Lineage: Archaea; Methanobacteriati; Methanobacteriota; Methanomicrobia; Methanotrichales; Methanotrichaceae
Description: bacterial SSU rRNA
Rfam family: Archaeal small subunit ribosomal RNA
Source: RNAcentral